AACGAACGCUGGCGGCAUGCCUAACACAUGCAAGUCGAACGAGACCUUCGGGUCUAGUGGCGCACGGGUGCGUAACGCGUGGGAACCUGCCCUUAGGUUCGGAAUAACUCCCCGAAAGGGGUGCUAAUACCGGAUAAUGUCUUCGGACCAAAGAUUUAUCGCCUUUGGAUGGGCCCGCGUUGGAUUAGCUAGUUGGUAGGGUAAAAGCCUACCAAGGCGACGAUCCAUAGCUGGUCUGAGAGGAUGAUCAGCCACACUGGGACUGAGACACGGCCAGACUCCUACGGGAGGCAGCAGUGGGGAAUAUGGGACAAUGGGCGAAAGCCUGAUCCAGCAAUGCCGCGUGAGUGAUGAAGGCCUUAGGGUUGUAAAGCUCUUUUACCCGGGAUGAUAAUGACAGUACCGGGAGAAUAAGCUCCGGCUAACUCCGU
Molecule: ribosomal RNA, 431 nt
Filed under: uncultured bacterium
Lineage: Bacteria
Description: partial 16S ribosomal RNA
Rfam family: Bacterial small subunit ribosomal RNA
Source: RNAcentral